GUGUACUGCCACACGUCCACACCUAGCUACCUUCUCCACCGAAGAUCGGAAAUAUUUUUUAACAACCCCUAGAGGAUUUCCGCAGUCAACUGUUCUUUCUCAUCUCAUUCUUCUAGUUUUACGACUUCAAUCAAAACAAUCAUGGAUUUCUUCUGGGCCGCCAUUUUAUUCAUAGCAUCUGCUGUUUUCCUGAUCUUUAUACUUAUCCUUGUAGUGAUUGUGAAAAUAUACUCUGGAAAAUCGAUUGGCAAUCCAAACUAUCCUCCAGUACAAGGAACAGUGUUCCACCUACUGUUCAACUUCAACAAAUUAUACGACUACCUAACCGAAAUUGCAAGAAAACAUCCUACCUUUCGCGUUCUAUCACCUGAUCAGAGUGAUGUUUACACAACUGAUGUCAGAAACAUACAACACAUUCUUAAAACAAAGUUUGAUACUUACACAAAAGGCAAGUAUGAUAGAGACAUACUUGAAGAUCUGUCCGGGGAAGGAAUAUUUGCUGUUGAUGGAGAUAAGUGGAGGCAGCAAAGGAAGAUUGCCAGUUUUGAAUUCUCAGCCAGGGUACUCAGAGAUUUUAGCUGUGCUGUUUUCCGGAUUAGUGCUGCAAAACUCGUUAGGAUUAUUUCUGCAAAUUACAUUUUCGACAUCCAUGAUAUGUUAAUGAGAUGUACAUUAGAUUCUAUAUUCAAAGUUGGUUUCGGGGUUGACAUGAACUGCCUUGAAGGAUCAAGCAAGGAAGGGAUUGAAUUCAUGAAGGCCUUUGAUGAUGCUAAUGCAUUGGUUUAUUGGCGAUAUGUUGAUCCGUUAUGGAAGCUUAGAAGAGCCCUUAACAUCGGCUCUGAGGCUACACUUAAGAAAAACAUCAAAGUCAUGGACGCGUUUGUUAAUGGAGUAAUCACAACAAAGAGGAAACAAUUGGCUGAACAACAGGAUUCUAUUGUGAAGGAAGACAUACUAUCCAGAUUUAUAGAGGCAAGCAAGAAAGAACCAGAUCAAAUGACUGAUCAGUACUUGAGGGAUAUCAUUCUAAACUUUAUGAUUGCUGGUAAAGAUAGUACUGCGAAUACAGUAUCAUGGUUUAUCUACAUGUUGUGCAAGAACCCAUUAAUACAGGAGAAGAUUUUCCAAGAAGUGAAAGAGUAUAUUAUUGAUACAGACGAUGAAAUAAAUAUCGAUGAUUUCGUGGAUAGAAUCAGUGAUGAAAUACUAGACAAGAUGCAUUAUCUUCAUUCUGCUCUUACAGAGACCCUGAGGCUUUAUCCUGGAGUUCCAGUGGAUGGGAGGACAACACAGGAAGAUGAUGUACUUCCAGAUGGUUACAAGGUUAAGAAGGGAGAAACUGUAAACUACUUAGCCUAUACUAUGGGAAGGAUGCCUUACAUUUGGGGAGAUGAUGCAGAUGAAUUCCGCCCCGAAAGAUGGCUUGAUCAAAAUGGAGUUUUCCAACAAGAAUCACCUUUCAAAUUCAUAGCAUUUCAUGCGGGUCCUCGGAUUUGUCUAGGAAAGGACUUUGCUUAUAGGCAAAUGAAGAUUGUUUCAAUUGCUCUUCUUCGAUUAUUUCGCUUUAGAUUGGGGGAUGAGACAAGAAAGGUUACUUAUAGGACUAUGUUUACACUUCACGUUGAUGGAGGUCUCCAUGUUCAAGCUUUGCCAAGGGUAGCUAUGUGCUAAAUUGCUAAUGCAUGGACUUUGCCUAUGUUCAAUAGUAGUAGUGGACUAGUAGCUACUAGCUAGUAUUCAUUUAGGAAUCUUUGCUGUUGAUGGAGAUAAGUGGAGGCAGCAGAGGAAGCUUUCGAGCUUUGAAUUCUCAGCCCGGGUAUUGAGAGAUUUCAGCUGUGCUGUUUUCAGAAGAAAUGCUGCAAAAUUUGUCAGGAUUAUUUCGC
RNA transcript from Spinacia oleracea (spinach), 1883 nucleotides. It is a transcript of the gene named cytochrome P450 704C1, with no coding region annotated. The record is from RefSeq and is a predicted model, not a curated record. The transcript is spliced from 6 exons. Lineage: Eukaryota; Viridiplantae; Streptophyta; Magnoliopsida; Caryophyllales; Amaranthaceae.